AUGAAGCUCGAUAGUGAUCCUUUUCCUAUCAAUGUGGUUGAGUUUGAGAAUAAGAAAAUUCUUAUUCGAUCGGAUCAGACCGAAUCCGCAAGAGAGAAAAAUGUUGUUGAUGAUAAUGUUCCUCCAAGGAUGAUCAAACCAAAAAAUCCAGAAGUAGGAGUGUGGAAAGUCAAUGGAAGAAGGAGACAAGCUUCGAGACCAAAGCCGACAGUUAACAUGUUGUUGGAGAAAUACACUUCACUUAAGGCCACCAAUGUGUUUAACCGGCUUGGAGGUAAUAAGCGUCCUAGAUCUCCUUCUGGACCUGCCGGUCAUGAGCAAUGGCAGAAAAAUUCAUAUGACCAGCAGCCAUAUUUCGCAAUAGAGCCAACAUAUUGGGGUUGUGCACCUCCUAUGUAUCCGCAAAUUCCUCCAUGGGGUUCUAAUCCUUGGGCGCCAUAUCCUAUAGGGCCAGCAGGAUAUUUUCAACCAGGAUGGAUCCCGCCUAGGCCUAUGUUCAGACCAAACAUGCACGAGAAAAGGGCUCGAUUUAAUCAUGAAGCAAGAUCACGUGAUGUUGUUAUGGUUCGAGGUAAAGAUGGUUCACACAAAGGGGCUGAAGAUAGCUCAUCCAGCAAAAGAUUUGCGUAG
This 630-nucleotide ribosomal RNA is filed under the name Triticum aestivum (bread wheat). RNAcentral's name for it is "partial small subunit ribosomal RNA". The record is from RNAcentral. Lineage: Eukaryota; Viridiplantae; Streptophyta; Magnoliopsida; Poales; Poaceae.